GGCGGUGGUUGUCCCGGGGUAAGGGUGUAGGACGUUGUGUAGGCAAAUCCGCACAACACGUAGUCUGAGACCUGAUGCCGAGCCGAUUGUGGUGAAGUGGAUGAUCCUAUGCUGUCGAGAAAAGCCUCUAGCGAGUUUCAUUGCGGCCCGUACCCUAAACCGACUCAGGUGGUCAGGUAGAGAAUACCGAGGCGUUCGGGUGAACUAUGGUUAAGGAACUCGGCAAAAUGCCCCCGUAACUUCGGGAGAAGGGGGGCCAUCACUGGUGAUAGCACUUGCUGCUUGAGCUGGGGGUGGCCGCAGAGACCAGCGAGAAGCGACUGUUUACUAAAAACACAGGUCCGUGCGAAGCCGUAAGGCGAUGUAUACGGACUGACGCCUGCCCGGUGCUGGAACGUUAAGGGGACCGGUUAGCUGCCUUUCG
Molecule: ribosomal RNA, 424 nt
Filed under: Streptomyces sp. SP18CM02
Lineage: Bacteria; Bacillati; Actinomycetota; Actinomycetes; Kitasatosporales; Streptomycetaceae
Description: partial 23S ribosomal RNA
Rfam family: Bacterial large subunit ribosomal RNA
Source: RNAcentral